CCCAUUUACACAACCCUAAGUAUAAAAGAUAUGAUUGAAUGCUACUACGCCAAGGACUAUAAAUGUACGGUCGCAAAGAAAUAUACAAUGUACAGCCGCUGCUCUCUCUUUUCUUCUCUUCUCCAAACUCCACUUCUUCUUGUUCUUCCUAUUCUUUCUCUCUUUGUGAUGGCACAUAUGGCGUGAACUUCCGAUCUAUGAGGAGCGAAACAAAAAUUGAUUCGUGGACUAACUUCAUAGGUGGAGGAGAAGAAAAGAGGAAGGCAAAUUAAAAACGCGGUGAUUAGAUAGAUUUCCGUUUUUUUGAACAGAGAAGAAGAUCUAGAAAAUAGAAUGAUUUCCGAAAGAAAUUAAGAAGCAUGAGACAGAGGUUAGUUGAACUUUAUAGGAUAAAUGUAUGAAACUAGAUGAAGGGGAAAAGGAGGAUGUUGAAACUUUUGAGGACAUAUAUACAGAUGAGCUUGAGUAAAAUGACAAUUGGUUCUAUUUAUCGCUUUAAUAUAUUCGGCGCCUGUCUUGCUGAAGCACAUGCUGUAGCAUUUUGUGUAGCAUUGUGUUCACUGCGUGCCAGAUUUCAAAGGUAUUAAGAUCUUUAAAUCCAAAAUUUGAUUUCAUAGUAGUAGCCUUACAAGAAGAAAAAUAUGUGAAAACUAUGAAGAUCAAAGAAUUGCAAAGUUCAUUAGAGACACAUUAACUUAUGGUGGUUGAUAAGGGUUCUGAAAGAUCAAAUCAACAAGCAUUUAUGGCACAAAUUAGCAAGAAAGAUGGCAAUAGCAAGAAUUUCAAGAAGAAGGGCAAAGGCAAACACUGGUCCAAUAAUGGCAAGUUCAGGACAUAUGACAAAUCUGAAUCUUCAAAGAGAGGAGGUUUUGUCAAGAGUCACAACAAAAAAAGGUCUUUGAUAAAAGUAAGGUACAAUGCUAUAAUUGUGACAAGUAUUGUGUCCAUACUUUGAUAUGCCCAAGAGAGCAAGUGCAGCUCUGCAAGUAAUCCACUCAGACAUAUGUAGUCCAUUUGAAGUCCCUUCAUUAGGUGAAAGUAAAUAUUUUAUCAACUGUGAAUUUUAUGAAAUUCAUAUUCAUUAUAACGUUAAUCAUGACUAGUGGCGACUCCAGGAUUGUUAGGGAGCCUGGGCAAAUUUUUGGAGGGAAUUUUAUCAACCCAAAUUUCGAAUAUAGAAAUAUUUAGACUCUGUUUUUCAAUAUUUAAUUUUGGAAGAAAUUUUUAAACAAGAAAUAACAUGCAAGAGUAUAGUCAUGUUUCCAAUAUAAUUAAGGCUCAACUAAAUAAGAGACUACAAUGAAAACUGAAUCCACAUCGACGUAUAUAAUUAUAUUAAACUACUUAUUUAUACAAUCAAAACAGCUUAACAAAUUUUAAAAUUCAAAACACCAUCAAGUCAUCAAACAAAGAUUAUAGAUUGAGAAGGUUUUAGGUUG
This is a long non-coding RNA of Trifolium pratense (red clover), 1439 nucleotides long. RefSeq lists it as uncharacterized. The record is from RefSeq and is a predicted model, not a curated record. The transcript is spliced from 4 exons. Lineage: Eukaryota; Viridiplantae; Streptophyta; Magnoliopsida; Fabales; Fabaceae.